RNAcentral lists this ribosomal RNA (468 nucleotides) under uncultured bacterium. RNAcentral's name for it is "partial 16S ribosomal RNA". It matches the Rfam family "Bacterial small subunit ribosomal RNA", at positions 28 to 507 of the family's 1533-position model. The record is from RNAcentral.
GACGAACGCUGGCGGCGUGCUUAACACAUGCAAGUCGAACGGAAAGGCCCUGCUUUUGUGGGGUGCUCGAGUGGCGAACGGGUGAGUAACACGUGAGUAACCUGCCCUUGACUUUGGGAUAACUUCAGGAAACUGGGGCUAAUACCGGAUAGGAGCUCCUGCUGCAUGGUGGGGGUUGGAAAGUUUCGGCGGUUGGGGAUGGACUCGCGGCUUAUCAGCUUGUUGGUGGGGUAGUGGCUUACCAAGGCUUUGACGGGUAGCCGGCCUGGGAGGGUGAACGGCCACAUGAGGACUGAGAUACGGCGCAGUCUCGUACGGGAGGCAGCAGGGGGGAAUAUUGCACAGUGGGCGGGAGCCUGAUGAGGCAACGCCGCGUGCGGGAUGACGGCCUUCGGGUUGUAAAGCGCUUUAGCCUGUGACGAAGCGUGAGUGACGGUAAUGGGUAAAGAAGCACCGGCUAACUACGUG